CACAUGCAAGUCGAACGGUAGCACAGAGGAGCUUGCUCCUUGGGUGACGAGUGGCGGACGGGUGAGUAAUGUCUGGGGAUCUGCCCGAUGGAGGGGGAUAACCACUGGAAACGGUGGCUAAUACCGCAUAACGUCGCAAGACCAAAGUGGGGGACCUUCGGGCCUCACACCAUCGGAUGAACCCAGAUGGGAUUAGCUAGUAGGUGGGGUAACGGCUCACCUAGGCGACGAUCCCUAGCUGGUCUGAGAGGAUGACCAGCCACACUGGAACUGAGACACGGUCCAGACUCCUACGGGAGGCAGCAGUGGGGAAUAUUGCACAAUGGGCGCAAGCCUGAUGCAGCCAUGCCGCGUGUAUGAAGAAGGCCUUCGGGUUGUAAAGUACUUUCAGCGGGGAGGAAGGGGACGAGGUUAAUAACCCCGUUCAUUGACGUUACCCGCAGAAGAAGCACCGGCUAACUCCGUGCCAGCAGCCGCGGUAAUACGGAGGGUGCAAGCGUUAAUCGGAAUUACUGGGCGUAAAGCGCACGCAGGCGGUCUGUUAAGUCAGAUGUGAAAUCCCCGGGCUUAACCUGGGAACUGCAUUGAAAC
RNAcentral lists this ribosomal RNA (591 nucleotides) under Pantoea ananatis. Its description in RNAcentral is "bacterial SSU rRNA". It matches the Rfam family "Bacterial small subunit ribosomal RNA", at positions 52 to 633 of the family's 1533-position model. Lineage: Bacteria; Pseudomonadati; Pseudomonadota; Gammaproteobacteria; Enterobacterales; Erwiniaceae. The record is from RNAcentral.